GCUUGCUUCUCUGAUGUUAGCGGCGGACGGGUGAGUAACACGUGGGUAACCUACCUAUAAGACUGGGAUAACUCCGGGAAACCGGGGCUAAUACCGGAUAAUAUUUUGAACCGCAUGGUUCAAUAGUGAAAGACGGUUUCGGCUGUCACUUAUAGAUGGACCCGCGCCGUAUUAGCUAGUUGGUAAGGUAAUGGCUUACCAAGGCGACGAUACGUAGCCGACCUGAGAGGGUGAUCGGCCACACUGGAACUGAGACACGGUCCAGACUCCUACGGGAGGCAGCAGUAGGGAAUCUUCCGCAAUGGGCGAAAGCCUGACGGAGCAACGCCGCGUGAGUGAUGAAGGUCUUCGGAUCGUAAAACUCUGUUGUUAGGGAAGAACAAAUUUGUUAGUAACUGAACAAGUCUUGACGGUACCUAACCAGAAAGCCACGGCUAACUACGUGCCAGCAGCCGCGGUAAUACGUAGGUGGCAAGCGUAUCCCGGAAUUAUUGGGCGUAAAGCGCGCGUAGGCGGUUUCUUAAGUCUGAUGUGAAAGCCCACGGCUCAACCGUGGAGGGUCAUUGGAAACUGGGAAACUUGAGUGCAGAAGAGGAGAGUGGAAUUCCAUGUGUAGCGGUGAAAUGCGCAGAGAUAUGGAGGAACACCAGUGGCGAAGGCGGCUCUCUGGUCUGUAACUGACGCUGAUGUGCGAAAGCGUGGGGAUCAAACAGGAUUAGAUACCCUGGUAGUCCACGCCGUAAACGAUGAGUGCUAAGUGUUAGGGGGUUUCCGCCCCUUAGUGCUGCAGCUAACGCAUUAAGCACUCCGCCUGGGGAGUACGACCGCAAGGUUGAAACUCAAAGGAAUUGACGGGGACCCGCACAAGCGGUGGAGCAUGUGGUUUAAUUCGAAGCAACGCGAAGAACCUUACCAAAUCUUGACAUCCUUUGACCGCUCUAGAGAUAGAGUCUUCCCCUUCGGGGGACAAAGUGACAGGUGGUGCAUGGUUGUCGUCAGCUCGUGUCGUGAGAUGUUGGGUUAAGUCCCGCAACGAGCGCAACCCUUAAGCUUAGUUGCCAUCAUUAAGUUGGGCACUCUAGGUUGACUGCCGGUGACAAACCGGAGGAAGGUGGGGAUGACGUCAAAUCAUCAUGCCCCUUAUGAUUUGGGCUACACACGUGCUACAAUGGAUAAUACAAAGGGCAGCGAAUCCGCGAGGCCAAGCAAAUCCCAUAAAAUUAUUCUCAGUUCGGAUUGUAGUCUGCAACUCGACUACAUGAAGCUGGAAUCGCUAGUAAUCGUAGAUCAGCAUGCUACGGUGAAUACGUUCCCGGGUCUUGUACACACCGCCCGUCACACCACGAGAGUUUGUAACACCCGAAGCC
This 1367-nucleotide ribosomal RNA is filed under the name Mammaliicoccus sciuri. RNAcentral describes it as "bacterial SSU rRNA". It matches the Rfam family "Bacterial small subunit ribosomal RNA", at positions 78 to 1428 of the family's 1533-position model. The record is from RNAcentral. Lineage: Bacteria; Bacillati; Bacillota; Bacilli; Caryophanales; Staphylococcaceae.